This 463-nucleotide long non-coding RNA is filed under the name Struthio camelus australis. Its description in RNAcentral is "lncRNA (ENSSCUG00000012567.1)". Lineage: Eukaryota; Metazoa; Chordata; Aves; Struthioniformes; Struthionidae. The record is from RNAcentral.
UUGGGGGGUUAGGGAGGGAGCCACUUCAAUUUUUUUGCAAAUUCUCCUCUCUCCCUGCAGUUAUACUCAGACCUGCUUGUGUGCCUGUGGGCAACGGCUGUCCAAAAGUGUGCAAUCCAGCGCUGCUGCUGAAGAACUGUGACCAGCUCCUCUCCUACUAUCAAAGAUGGAGGAGGAUGUAAACUCCGCACGCACCAAGAGAAUUGCUCGCUAGACCACAACUCUCAGCAAGCAGCAGCAUUUGGAGUUCAUAAGAUGGCUGUAAGUAUUUCAAUUUGUGACAGGAAUGGCUGUGUGAACCACACAUGUCCUGUCAUUACUGUUUUUACCAGUCUGAACAGUCUUUAAGCUGCAGCAUGACCCCCUAGUAGGUUCAUAAACUCCAUAUGCAAAACUGUCAUUUCCUUUACUGGUAUCUUGUGCAUCAAUGGUAUCCACAAACUAUAUACAGGAUAGAAAUGUG